This 230-nucleotide non-coding RNA is filed under the name Streptomyces sp. Lineage: Bacteria; Bacillati; Actinomycetota; Actinomycetes; Kitasatosporales; Streptomycetaceae. The record is from RNAcentral. RNAcentral also lists the same sequence under 1 other name.
UUAGAGUGGCCCGGCCGUGGUGUUCGGGAAGACCGGUGCGGAGCCCCUGGCUCCGAUUCCGGCGCGGCCCUCGCCACUGUGAUCGGGGAGUUACCGUCCCGUUCCGCGCGUCCGAACGGGAUCCCCCGCCGGGCCGCGCGGAGCCACUGGCCGCAGCCGGCUGCCGGGAAGGCAGGGACGGGCGCGACGGACCCGUCAGCCAGGAGACCGGCCACGGCAUCUCACGAACG